This 172-nucleotide non-coding RNA is filed under the name Corynebacterium sp. The record is from RNAcentral. Lineage: Bacteria; Bacillati; Actinomycetota; Actinomycetes; Mycobacteriales; Corynebacteriaceae. RNAcentral also lists the same sequence under 1 other name.
UUUUAGCCUAGCGCAAUAGGCCCUCGAGUUAUGCAGGGGAAUCCCGGUGCAAGUCCGGAACUGUCCCGCAACGGUAAGCAUCACCGCCAGAACUUUGGUUUAUCCGACGCGUUGAUAACCAAUCUUUUCAGUGAUGACAAGUCCGAAUGCCUGCCGGUUGUGCAAUUUCAUA